RNAcentral lists this ribosomal RNA (498 nucleotides) under uncultured Glomeromycotina. RNAcentral's name for it is "partial small subunit ribosomal RNA". It matches the Rfam family "Eukaryotic small subunit ribosomal RNA", at positions 591 to 1092 of the family's 1831-position model. Lineage: Eukaryota; Fungi; Glomeromycota. The record is from RNAcentral.
CCAAUAGCGUAUAUUAAAGUUGUUGCAGUUAAAAAGCUCGUAGUUGAAUUUCGGGAUCAAUAUGUUGGUCGUGCCUUGGUACGUACUAAUUUAUUGGUUUCUUCCUUCUGACGAACCAUGAUGUCAUUAAUUUGGUGUCUUGGGGAAUCAGGACUGUUACUUUGAAAAAAUUAGAGUGUUUAAAGCAGGCUCACGCUUGAAUACAUUAGCAUGGAAUAAUGAAAUAGGAUGUUUGAUUCUAUUUUGUUGGUUUCUAGGAUCGACGUAAUGAUUAAUAGGGAUAGUUGGGGGCAUUAGUAUUCAAUUGUCAGAGGUGAAAUUCUUGGAUUUAUUGAAGACUAACUACUGCGAAAGCAUUUGCCAAGGAUGUUUUCAUUAAUCAAGAACGAAAAUUAGGGGAUCGAAGACGAUCAGAUACCGUCGUAGUCUUAACCAUAAACUAUGCCGACUAGGGAUCGGAUGAUGUUAAUUUUUUAAUGACUCAUUCGGCGCCUUACG